CAGUAGCCGCGGUAAUACAGAGGGUGCAAGCGUUAAUCGGAAUUACUGGGCGUAAAGCGCGCGUAGGUGGUUUGUUAAGUUGGAUGUGAAAUCCCCGGGCUCAACCUGGGAACUGCAUCCAUAACUGCCUGACUAGAGUACGGUAGAGGGUGGUGGAAUUUCCUGUGUAGCGGUGAAAUGCGUAGAUAUAGGAAGGAACACCAGUGGCGAAGGCGACCACCUGGACUGAUACUGACACUGAGGUGCGAAAGCGUGGGGAGCAAACAGGAUUAGAUACCCGCGUAGUCCCUGUCUCUUAUAC
RNAcentral lists this ribosomal RNA (301 nucleotides) under uncultured bacterium. Its description in RNAcentral is "partial 16S ribosomal RNA". It matches the Rfam family "Bacterial small subunit ribosomal RNA", at positions 509 to 807 of the family's 1533-position model. The record is from RNAcentral.